GUAACUGAGAAGUUACAUCUGAAGAAAGCGAGACUACAAAACUCGGUACUGACCCUUCGGCUAUGCUCAGGAUAAACCAAGCAGGAACCGUAUACGAAGGCAUAUUCAUCUGGGUAUGCAAGCACACUUCGGCAGGCUCAGUACAUCGCAUUAUUGUAACGCCCCAAGAGAACCAAAAGGAUGAUUAUGUAGAUACGGCAGUUAUUGAGCGAAACCUGCCUGC
Molecule: non-coding RNA, 223 nt
Filed under: Maribacter spongiicola
Lineage: Bacteria; Pseudomonadati; Bacteroidota; Flavobacteriia; Flavobacteriales; Flavobacteriaceae
Source: RNAcentral